AGUUUCUGACCUAUCAGCUUUCGACGGUAGGGUAUUGGCCUACCGUGGCAGUGACGGGUAACGGGGAAUUAGGGUUCGAUUCCGGAGAGGGAGCCUGAGAAACGGCUACCACAUCUAAGGAAGGCAGCAGGCGCGCAAAUUACCCAAUGAAAACAGUUUCGAGGUAGUGACGAGAAAUAACAAUACAGGGCAUUUUAUGCUCUGUAAUUGGAAUGAUGGGAAUGUAAAACCCUUUCAGAGUAACAAUUGGAGGGCAAGUCUGGUGCCAGCAGCCGCGGUAAUUCCAGCUCCAAUAGUGUAUAUUAGAGUUGUUGCAGUUAAAAAGCUCGUAGUUGGAUUUCUGUCGUGGUCAUCCGGUACCGCCCGUAUGGGUGCGCACCUGGUUUGCCCUCGGCUUUCUUCCGGUAGCCUUCCGCGCUUCACUGCGUGUCGA
This 433-nucleotide ribosomal RNA is filed under the name Isospora sp. RNAcentral's name for it is "SSU rRNA". It matches the Rfam family "Eukaryotic small subunit ribosomal RNA", at positions 302 to 733 of the family's 1831-position model. The record is from RNAcentral. Lineage: Eukaryota; Apicomplexa; Conoidasida; Eucoccidiorida; Eimeriidae.